GCCAGACUCCUACGGGAGGCAGCAGUGGGGAAUAUUGCACAAUGGGGGGAACCCUGAUGCAGCGACGCCGCGUGGGUGAAGGAGCGUUUCGGCGCGUAAAGCCCUAUCGGCAGGGAAGAAGGAGGACGGUACCUGACUAAGAAGCCCCGGCUAACUACGUGCCAGCAGCCGCGGUAAUACGUAGGGGGCAAGCGUUAUCCGGAUUUACUGGGUGUAAAGGGGGCGCAGACGGCAGCGCAAGCCAGGAGUGAAAGCCCGGGGCCCAACCCCGGGACUGCUCUUGGAACUGCGCGGCUGGAGUGCAGGAGGGGCAGGCGGAAUUCCUGGUGUAGCGGUGAAAUGCGUAGAUAUCAGGAGGAACACCGGUGGCGAAGGCGGCCUGCUGGACUGCAACUGACGUUGAGGCCCGAAAGCGUGGGGAGCAAACAGGAUUAGAUACCCCAGUAAAC
This 449-nucleotide ribosomal RNA is filed under the name uncultured bacterium. RNAcentral describes it as "bacterial SSU rRNA". It matches the Rfam family "Bacterial small subunit ribosomal RNA", at positions 330 to 795 of the family's 1533-position model. The record is from RNAcentral.